RNAcentral lists this long non-coding RNA (316 nucleotides) under Coffea arabica (coffee). RNAcentral's name for it is "long non-coding RNA (CARA_LNC005905)". Lineage: Eukaryota; Viridiplantae; Streptophyta; Magnoliopsida; Gentianales; Rubiaceae. The record is from RNAcentral.
ACAACCAACAACCCAAGCCGAAGAAAGUUGGUGGCAGCCGUGCACAAGGUUUCUAGCUAUAACAGGUGCGUGAGUUGAAGAUUUGGUGAGCGUUUACUGGAGUAGUUCAUUUUUUACUACUAGUUGAUUUUGUUUUUCUUUUUGUUAGGCUUACUAGUUGAUUAGUACUCUAGAAUUGGUGCCAAAUCCCAUUAUCAAAAGUUAAUUAAUUUUGUUUAAAACUUUCAUUCAAUAGUUAUUGAAUUUUUAAAGAAUCUGGGAGUAUGACAGACGAUAUAUUACAGUUUUGGGGGGUAUUUUCAAAAAAAUUACACUG